RNAcentral lists this ribosomal RNA (489 nucleotides) under uncultured soil bacterium. Its description in RNAcentral is "bacterial SSU rRNA". It matches the Rfam family "Bacterial small subunit ribosomal RNA", at positions 26 to 512 of the family's 1533-position model. The record is from RNAcentral.
AGGACGAACGCUGGCGGCGUGCUUAACACAUGCAAGUCAAGGGGGCCCGCAAGGGCAACCGGCGAACGGGUGCGUAACACGUGAGCAACCUGCCCAUCUGUGGGGGAUAGCCGGUCCAACGACCGGGUAAUACCGCAUACGUUCACCUGGGGGCAUCCCCGGGUGAGGAAAGCCUUCGGGCGCAGGUGGAGGGGCUCGCGGCCUAUCAGCUAGUUGGUGGGGUAACGGCCUACCAAGGCAACGACGGGUAGCUGGUCUGAGAGGAUGGCCAGCCACAUUGGGACUGCGACACGGCCCAGACUCCUACGGGAGGCAGCAGUGGGGAAUCUUGCGCAAUGGCCGAAAGGCUGACGCAGCGACGCCGCGUGUGGGAUGAAGCUCGUUCGGGUAGUAAACCACUGUUCGGCCCGGGAACGGAACGGGCGAAUUAACGUCCGGCCGUGACCGGUUACCGGGUGAGGAACGCCGACCGGACCUAACCGUCCCGGU